CCUACGGGAGGCAGCAGUGAGGAAUAUUGGUCAAUGGACGAGAGCCUGAACCAGCCAAGUCGCGUGAAGGAUGACUGCCCUAUGGGUUGUAAACUUCUUUUAUAUGGGAGUAAAAUGUUCCACGUGUGGGAUUUUGUAUGUACCAUAUGAAUAAGGAUCGGCUAACUCCGUGCCAGCAGCCGCGGUAAUACGGAGGAUUCGAGCGUUAUCCGGAUUUAUUGGGUUUAAAGGGAGCGUAGGUGGGUUGUUAAGUCAGUUGUGAAAGUUUGCGGCUCAACCGUAAAAUUGCAGUUGAAACUGGCAGUCUUGAGUACAGUAGAGGUAGGCGGAAUGCGUGGUGUAGCGGUGAAAUGCUUAGAUAUCACGAAGAACUCCGAUUGCGAAGGCAGCUCACUGGACUGCAACUGACACUGAGGCUCGAAAGUGUGGGUAUCAAACAGGAUUAGAUACCCUUGUAGUC
RNAcentral lists this ribosomal RNA (460 nucleotides) under uncultured bacterium. Its description in RNAcentral is "partial 16S ribosomal RNA". It matches the Rfam family "Bacterial small subunit ribosomal RNA", at positions 338 to 795 of the family's 1533-position model. The record is from RNAcentral.